AAAGUCAAUUUCCCAAUGUUGGCAAGGCCUUUGUCCCCUUAUCCUCUGCCCAAUGUGUUUGUCAGGUUUGGCUGCCCGAAGGAGCUGGCAUGUUGUACAAAAAUCAACCAGUCAGCAAAGGAAUCAGCUUCUCUCUAUAUACUUGAAUUUGCCUUCGUCCAAGAGUUGUGUUUACAGCUUCCAAGGAGUCUCCCUUUUGAUGCCACUGCUUUUGGUUCCCAGACCACCAAUAGGAGAUCCUGGAUUUCAGGAAGAUUAUGGACUGGGGCUCCAACAGAGCAGCUACCCAGGACUCGGGGAGGGAUGACAAGUCCCAUCCUCUUCAAUCCUCCUCUCUUUGAAGGUAUUUCCAGAACAACAUCAAACAAUAGUGGGGAGAAGCAUCCUUCCUUCACUUCAUUGGAAAAGGUUCUAGAACAUCCUAAUAGCAUGUAAUGAAGGAUGCCUUUUGUUUUUUAUAUAAAUGCUUUAAUGAAAUUAAAGAAAAGGUCCUUCUUUGUCUAGAUGUUGAAGGGCUUUUAGCAUAAAAGAAUGCUAUACUUUGUGAAAGGCUUUUUCUGCACUUACUGAGAGCACACAGGUUGGGAUAUUUUGGCUUUUAAUAUGACUAAUUGUUCUUUUCCCCCUCCAAUGUUGUACCAUCCUUGCAUCCCAAUUUAAAUCCUCCUUGGUCACAAUGAAUGAUUCCUUAGGGUACAAUGCUAGAAUUUGAUAGAUUUUAUUUAAUGUUUUUGAGUUGAUAUUCAUUAAUGACCACUGACCUAUGGUUUUCAUUCUAUGUUAUAUAUUUCAUAAUUUUUAUUAUUUUUAUUAUAUAUUUGUUUCAUAAAAGGAUUCUGGUAGAGUAAUUUCUCUCAAUUUGGGAGGAAGAUGUGUUAAGUAUGGGUACUAAUUGUUCUUUAAAUUUUUGAUAGCAUUCUCCAUUGAAUCCAUUAAGAUCAGGAGUUUUUUCCCCCUUUGGUAGUUCCUUUAUAGUUAGAUCUAUUUCAUUUUCUGAGACUGAGUGAUUUAAGACCUCUAUCUAGCCAUCCUAUUGUUUUGGUAUUUUAUCUUUUCGACAUUAAUCCAUUAUUUCUUUUUUUUUUUCAGUUUUGUUAGCAUGUAACUGCAUAAUAUGUUCUGAUUAUCCUUUUUAUUUCUUCUGGUUUUGUUGUGAUUUCAUCCUGCUCAUUUGUUAUUUUAUUGAUUUGAUUUUCAGCUCUCUUCUUUUUAAUAAGAUUAGUUUAAAGUUAAUCAAUUUCAUUAGUUUAUUCAAAGAAUCAGCUUUUCGUUUCAUUUAUAAUUUCUUAGAGUAAUUUAUGCUUAUUUUAGAUUUAUUUGUUGACUUUCUGAUUUUUACAAAAGUUUAUUAGUUCAUCAAUAUUCUCUUUUCUCUUUUGUUAAUGUAUAUUUGUGCAGUUAUAAAUUUCCCUUUAAUGAUUGCUUUUACUGCAUG
RNAcentral lists this long non-coding RNA (1435 nucleotides) under Monodelphis domestica (gray short-tailed opossum). RNAcentral describes it as "lncRNA (ENSMODG00000046308.1)". The record is from RNAcentral. Lineage: Eukaryota; Metazoa; Chordata; Mammalia; Didelphimorphia; Didelphidae.